AUGCUGCUUCCCCAUCCCUCCCCCUCUCCUUGCAGUGGUAUGUGGAUGAAAAACAGCCAGCGCCUUUUUUUUUUUUUUUUUCCUCCAAAAACUUUGAAAACAAAAGACAAAAUCGCAGCCCGGCCCGAGCCUUUCCCUCACUUGAAUCAACACCAAGACAACAUUGAGACAUGGAAGGAUUCUGCUUCCCAAACACAGCUGUGUUUGCGAGUCCUGCGAUGCCAGGGGAUGGGAAGGGCUGGAAAAAGCGGCCUGACCCCUCCUGUCCAGGGGAGAAGCUCCCGCGGGCUCCUUCCAAGGAAUCGGAGCGGUGACAGCAGUCACGGAGAGGGGCUGCUCGGCCUGCUGUCCCCUCACGGCCAAACGACGACCGCCCAGAGGACGAAGGGCGAGAGCAAAGACCUCGUCCUUUCAGAUCAGGAGCGCCAGCACGGCCUGAACAAAAGCUUCUUGACCUACAAACUCCCGGCUGCCAACAUCGUUAACAUCGCGGCUCAACCUCCUUUUUCUCCUCCUCCUCAGCGACCAAACUCGCUGCUGGCAGCGGGAAGCAGACUGGCCUGUGCCUGGCGUGUGCUUUUCGGGAUGAAAGGGGAGCCCAUUAGGAUGAGCUGUCUCGACAAGCAGGGCUGA
Molecule: long non-coding RNA, 633 nt
Filed under: Anas platyrhynchos platyrhynchos (common mallard)
Lineage: Eukaryota; Metazoa; Chordata; Aves; Anseriformes; Anatidae
Description: lncRNA (ENSAPLG00000030531.1)
Source: RNAcentral